Molecule: ribosomal RNA, 429 nt
Filed under: Triticum aestivum (bread wheat)
Lineage: Eukaryota; Viridiplantae; Streptophyta; Magnoliopsida; Poales; Poaceae
Description: partial small subunit ribosomal RNA
Source: RNAcentral
AUGCCAUCAUCGGCGGCCCCUCGGCGAUGGAGUACACACUGUUGGACAGCAAGGUGCGUGGUACCGGGGCCGGCCGCCAGCAAGCGAUGUGGGUCUCGACGGCCUUCUGCGGUUCACCGACGAAGCCUUCCGACAAGAAGAAGUCCAGGUGAGGUUGAUUUCUCCGGGUGCGACGGUGGCAACUGCGGGAGGCCUCCAGACUGUGUGGCCGGAAGCGGUGUUGCUGACGUUCGGCGAGGCCCCGAUGGCGCGCGGCGGAGCUCGCGCUCGGCGGCCAUGGUGACGGCCAGCGCAGGGCACGCGCGACUCUGCGAUGGCGAGCACGAGGACACGGAGGAGCUCAUGCAGCGCGUCACGGCGGUGCAGGUCGACAGUGGGUGGUGGGUGCUUGCGGCGGUGCAUGUUCAGGCGGAGCUCGCGGAGCAAUGA